This 2707-nucleotide long non-coding RNA is filed under the name Canis lupus familiaris (dog). RNAcentral describes it as "lncRNA (ENSCAFG00845011886.1)". Lineage: Eukaryota; Metazoa; Chordata; Mammalia; Carnivora; Canidae. The record is from RNAcentral.
AUGGUUUUGUUUCUAUGUAAACUGGACGCACAGAAUACAGUACAGUGGCAAUUUUUUUUAAAUCUUUUAUCAGCUCAAAAUUGCUGUUUAAUGCAGAGAAUGAUUGUCUUCCGAGUUUUUAGUUCUUUUUUUUUAACUGUGUUAAAGUACUUGAAAUGUAUCAACUGCUGACUAUCCUUUAAAAACAAAACAAAACCAUUUGAGUUGUAUUACAGAGGUUGACAUUGUUCGGGGAUGGGACAAAGCUUUCUUCAAUUCUUUUCAUACCACUUAAUGAUUUUGGUGCAGGCACUUGAUAUUUUCUUAUUUAUUCCGUGAUAUUUCACAUCCACCCUUCACAGCAUGAGCAUAAAGCCCAGUGGCACCAAGUGGCUGAAUACAAUCAAAUGAUAUUUUAUAGCACUUGACUGUCUGAAGAACCUUGGGAGUUUUCAAAUGAUGACUUCAUUGAGCUUCAUUGCAGCCUGAAAUAAAAAUGUUGUAUGAUAGAUGCUAACAGUCAAGUUGCAUUUUGACUGGAAAUUUUGAUAUGACCUAUUUCUUAGCUCAUUUCUCUGUGCUCUAUGGGUACAUACAAAAAUCCUGAAUUCUGUUUCCCAGGCAGAUCAUUGCAACUCAGGGCUAAAGUCAUCCAGUGAAACUUUUAGAGCCAGAAGUUAACUUUGUCCCAGUCCCACAAUGUGAAAAGAGUGAAUAGUGGCCUCUUUUUAGCCAUUUUCAUGGCUGGUACAUAUCUGUACACCUUACUUUUCAGAAUUAAUACGCACUUUCAGAUAUUCUUAUUUUUAUUCUCUUAAGUCUUUAUUAACUUUGGAGAAAUGAUGCAUCUUUUUAUUUUAAAUGAAGUAGAUCAACAUGGUGGAACAAAAUGAUAAAGAACAGAAAACAUUUCAAUAUAUUACUAAUAAUUUUUUUCCAAUAUAAAACCUAAAAUUCCUAUAAUAUUAUAGUAUUUUACAGUUUUAUGAAGCUUUCUAUUGUGACUUUUAUGGAAUUAAGAGAUGAAGAAGAUGAGAUAUUUUAGCAUUUAUAUUUUUCAAAAUUAAAUGUAUACUUAAAAUAAAGUAACUUUAUGCAUUUAUGAGUGUCUAGUGCUUCUGUUCAACUCUUCAAAUAAUUAUAAAGUGCCUAUUAUUUUACUCUUGGGUGUUAUAGGAAAUACAAAGAUUUGAAUAAAUUAGAGUCUCUGACUUCAGAUGGCUUUUUAAAACUCCACGUAGGAGGAUAAAAUAAGUGUCCAAAUUACAUGAAAUAAGAGAUUGUAAGAAUUAUCUAUUCAAGUAUUGAUGAAGUAGUAUCAUGCAAGAUGCAAGGAUUCAAAGCAAAAAAAAAAAUGUCCAACUAAGAGCAGUGGAAUAAUAACUGAUAAACAGAUAAAGUAAAUGUGGUAUAGCUAUACAAUGGAAUAUUAGUCAAUUAUCAAAAAAUGAAAUCUUGCCAUUUGCAAUAACGUGGAUGGAGCCAGAGCAUAUUAUACUAAGUGAAAUAAGUCAGAGAGAUACAGACGCCAUAUGAUCUCACACAUAUGUGGAAUUUAAGAAAGAAAACAGGUGAAAGUAUGGGAAAGGGGGAAAGAAAAAAGGAGAGAGGUUAAUAAGCCAUAACAGACUCUUAAUGAUAGAGAACAAACUGAGGGUUGAUGGAGGAAGGUGGGUGAGGGGCAGGCUAUGGUUGAAAAGUAUUAAAGAGGGUACUUGUGAUGAGCCACUAAAUAUGAGUGCUGUAUAUAAAUGAUGAACCACUGAAUUUGACUCCAGAAACCAAUAUUGCACUGUAUGUUAACUAACUAGAAUUUAAAUAAAAUUUUUGAAAACGCAAUGGGAUGUUUCAUUGAAAAAGUAGUGUUGUUAUUCUUCUUUUAUAAAGUUAGUGAAGUAUAAAAUGCCAUUUUCUUGAAACCAAGAUGAUACAUACAGUCAUGCGGGCUGUGUGGUGCAGUUGGUUAAGUGUCCCACUCUUGGUUUUGGCUCAGGUCAUGAUCUCAGGGUUGUGAGAUCGAGCUCAGCAUUAGCCUCUGUGCUCAGUGCAGAGUCUGCUUGAGAUUCUCUCUCCCUCUGCACCUCCCCCUGCUCAUGCUCUCUCUCUAUCUUGCUUGCUCUCUGUCCAAAAUAAUUAAAUCUUAGAAAAUUGCUAAGCAUUGAGCACUUGUUAAAAAGAAUUAUUCACAUGAACAAAAUCUUGGAAUGGUACUCUUCAGAAGAUACAUAACACAUACUUCUUCCUGCUGGACCUAACCAGGCUUCCAUGUAUUAUUUACAAUUCUCCAGGAAACUUCAGUUCAGCCCCAAGUUAUAAUCAGAGAAUGGUGGUUGGUUGAGGCAGGCAGGGAACAAAUGAAGGGGAUAAGAAGGAACCAUUGGUAGCAGUAAAAAGUACACUGAAAAAAAAAAAAAGGUAAUGAGACAGAGACAUUGACUAGAACAAUCUUUCAACCUGGCAAUUGAAUAUAGAGGCAAUAGCUCUGAUAGUGGUAGUGGUGUCGAAAAUGGGGUUUGGAUCUUAUUACUGAGCUGGAAGAAGCACAGAAGCCACACUCAGAAUACAUAAUAUUAUGGAAGAAUCUGAUUAAUAUUUCAAUGUACCCACAGAGAAGUCUAAAUAUUGUCAUGUAUAACAAUAACUAAGUCAAGAAAUUAGGAUCAAAUUGUAUUUAUGUUAUGGGGGAAAAAGGGGCACUUAAGCAGCUCCUCAUUAUGUAACUUCACCU